RNAcentral lists this transfer RNA (73 nucleotides) under Mangrovibacterium diazotrophicum. It matches the Rfam family "tRNA". From Rfam's summary of the family: Transfer RNA (tRNA) molecules are approximately 80 nucleotides in length. Their secondary structure includes four short double-helical elements and three loops (D, anti-codon, and T loops). The record is from Rfam by way of RNAcentral. Lineage: Bacteria; Pseudomonadati; Bacteroidota; Bacteroidia; Marinilabiliales; Prolixibacteraceae.
UGACCUGUGGUGUAACUGGCAACACGUCAGAUUCUGGUCCUGAAGAGUCCUGGUUCGAGCCCAGGCAGGUCAA